RNAcentral lists this ribosomal RNA (419 nucleotides) under bacterium. RNAcentral describes it as "partial 16S ribosomal RNA". It matches the Rfam family "Bacterial small subunit ribosomal RNA", at positions 355 to 776 of the family's 1533-position model. The record is from RNAcentral.
UGGGGGAUAUUGCACAAUGGGCGAAAGCCUGAUGCAGCGACGCCGCGUGGGGGAUGAAGGCUUUCGGGUUGUAAACCUCUUUCGCUAUCGAACAAGGCCCGCUUAGGGUGGGUUGAGGGUAGGUGGAGAAGAAGCGCCGGCUAACUACGUGCCAGCAGCCGCGGUAAUACGUAGGGCGCGAGCGUUGUCCGGAAUUAUUGGCGGAAAGGGCUUGUAGGCGGCUUGUUGCGCCUGCUGUGAAAACGCGGGGCUUAACUUCGCGCGUGCAGUGGGUACGGGCAGGCUUGAGUGUGGUAGGGGUGACUGGAAUUCCAGGUGUAGCGGUGGAAUGCGCAGAUAUCUGGAGGAACACCGAUGGCGAAGGCAGGUCACUGGGCCAUUACUGACGCUGAGGAGCGAAAGCAUGGGUAGCGAACAGG